GAUCACUCCGCAUUUUGUGGAGUUAAGGCCAUACGGACAGCCGGGUCCACUGCCGA
This 56-nucleotide small RNA is filed under the name chicken gut metagenome. RNAcentral describes it as "Streptococcus sRNA SpF59 (ldcC RNA)". It matches the Rfam family "Streptococcus sRNA SpF59 (ldcC RNA)". The record is from RNAcentral.